Molecule: ribosomal RNA, 228 nt
Filed under: uncultured bacterium
Lineage: Bacteria
Description: partial 16S ribosomal RNA
Rfam family: Bacterial small subunit ribosomal RNA
Source: RNAcentral
GCGUAACGCGUAGGCAACCUGCCCUCGGAUGGGGAACAACCACGGGAAACCGUGGCUAAUACCACAUAACAUCCACUGGUCGCAUGGCCGGUGGACCAAAGCCUUAGGGUGUCCGGGGAUGGGCCUGCGUCGGAUUAGGUAGUUGGUGAGGUAACGGCUCACCAAGCCUACGAUCCGUAGCUGGUCUGAGAGGAUGAUCAGCCACACUGGCACUGAGACACGGGCCAG